UCGAGUUUAUCGACCUCACACCAAAUCAAGCUGGUGAACUAAUUAAAAUAUCUCAGUAGCUAGAGGAAAAGAAAGCAAAAGUUAUUCUCGUAAUAGUAGCAAGCGAAAUGGGAAUAGCUUAAUUAAAUUGUGAAAAUAGAGUUGUGGGAAAGCAAUACAAGCGUCGUGAAUAUGGUAGGCAGUAUCCUAAAUGUUGCACCCUAGAUGGAAAAAUCCGAUAGCGGAAAACAUCACUAGCUUAAGCUUUGAUCCGAGUAGCAUAGGAAAGGUGAAAUCUUGUGUGAAUCACCAAAGACCAAUAGCGAAAAAUCAGA
RNAcentral lists this non-coding RNA (314 nucleotides) under Solanum tuberosum (potato). RNAcentral describes it as "Bacterial large subunit ribosomal RNA". It matches the Rfam family "Bacterial large subunit ribosomal RNA", at positions 158 to 474 of the family's 2925-position model. The record is from Rfam by way of RNAcentral. Lineage: Eukaryota; Viridiplantae; Streptophyta; Magnoliopsida; Solanales; Solanaceae.